This 463-nucleotide ribosomal RNA is filed under the name uncultured bacterium. RNAcentral describes it as "bacterial SSU rRNA". It matches the Rfam family "Bacterial small subunit ribosomal RNA", at positions 1036 to 1498 of the family's 1533-position model. The record is from RNAcentral.
AGGUGCUGCACGGCUGUCGUCAGCUCGUGUCGUGAGAUGUUGGGUUAAGUCCCGCAACGAGCGCAACCCUCGUCCUUAGUUGCCAGCAGGUUAAGCUGGGCACUUUAAGGAGACUGCCUUCGCAAGGAGGAGGAAGGUGAGGACGACGUCAAGUCAUCAUGGCCCUUAUGGCUAGGGCUACACACGUGCUACAAUGGGGCGUACAGAGAGUUGCGAUACCGCGAGGUGGAGCCAGUCUCAUAAAGCGUCUCUCAGUUCGGAUUGAAGUCUGCAACUCGACUUCAUGAAGCUGGAAUCACUAGUAAUCGUAGAUCAGCAAUGCUACGGUGAAUACGUUCCCGGGUCUUGUACUCACCGCCCGUCACACCAUGGGAGUUGAUUUCACCCGAAAUUGGGAAGCUAACCUUCGGGAGGCUACCACUUACGGUGGAAUUAGCGACUGGGGUGAAGUCGUAACAAGGUA